Long non-coding RNA from Bubalus bubalis (water buffalo), 1626 nucleotides. RefSeq lists it as uncharacterized. The transcript has 2 exons. NCBI's taxonomy places the organism in Eukaryota, Metazoa, Chordata, Mammalia, Artiodactyla, Bovidae. The record is from RefSeq and is a predicted model, not a curated record.
UAAAAUGAUUCUGGGAAUGAUUCAAUUUAUAUUUUUUGUGUUGUAUCUUGGUAAGAACAUAGUAUCUAAAAUGUUUUUAUUGAACAACAUCAAACUGGUACAAUUUAAAAUUCUUAGCUCAAAUGUUCCUUUACAAGAUGCCUCUUGCAAACUAUUCUUAUUUGAAAGAUUAAAAUAGAAACUCUCAUAUUAUUAAAAAAUAACUUUUAGAGAUUGAUAAAAUCAUUUCCUAUAAUGACAUAAAAAUGAACAAGUGUUAAUUUGAUUUAACCUAAUGAUGAAACUGGUGAAAUGUAACAACUAGUUCAAGGGAAAAGUAGAAAAAUGACACAUUUAUAGUUAAAUGACUGGGCAAAUGGACUGUGUAAAAGUGGCUUCUUCUAUAAAAGUAGCUUCUUCUAUAGUGGAGUAAGGAAGUCAGUAGAUCUUUCAGACAGAAUUUGCAUGACUACAGAUAAUAACCAUCUUGCAUUGCUAUCAGCUAUCUGCAUUUUACAGAGUAGAGAAUAGCCUUCAUAGAACCAGAUCAGAUAAUCAUUAUAUAAGAGAGCUAUAGAUAUUUUGUCUGCCAUUAAAAAAUUUUUUUUUCCUGCACAUUAAACAAGUUCUGUCUCUGCUUUGUGUAUUUCCCUAUAUAUAAGACUAUUGCAAUAUGUAUUGUUUAAAUAUAGGUUCAUGAUUUGAAACUAGAGUAAGUAACGAGGCACAAAUAAUAAGUACUGCCAGGCCUCCAUAUCUACGGGUUCUGCAUCUGCAUCUAUACAUGAAACCAACCUGGGCCUACUUCAAACCAACUUAAAAUCUCUGGAGGUGGAAUCUGGACACUGAUGCUUUAAAAAAAUUACCCAGAUGAUUUUAAGGUGCAUCCAGUAUUGAGAACCAUUCCUUUGACAGUUAUCAGAUAGCUUAGUUAUGAUCCUUACAGAUUCUAGUUCCAUCUCAUUAGAAAAAUCAUUCUUAUUAUGAGAUGUGGGAUGUGGCUUGAUGUUUUAGAUAUUCAAAUUAUUAGAAUCCAUACUCCUUAAGGAAACUCCUGACUAUCGUUUAAUUUGUCAUGCACCAUGCCUAUAGUUAAUAAAACACUUUGAUCCUGUUGCAUGAAAACAAAUUUAGUCCUCUUUGAGAACAUUUCGAUCUGAGAUUAACAAACUGACGUUUAUUCCUUCAGAUGAAUCUCAUGAACUUGAUUAUUACAAAGACGACUUGGAGUGGAGCCCAAAAGGCCUUACUUCCCAGGUGGCGACAUCCCUACAUGACCUCGCACCCUGUGUACUGCUUUCUACACUACCAUGUUGUGGUUUAUUAUGGUUAAGAAACAAAAUGCUUGCAAAGUAAAAUCAAGUACUUUUAACCAGUGCUUCAUAAACAUGUUAUCAAUUCUCCAGGACACAGUCUGUGUUUCUGCUCCCAGACGAGGCUCUCCCAGGCAAUAUCCCUCAGUUUAAGCCUUUCCCAUUUGCUUCUCUAGCUUGGCUUCCAAAUUUUUUAUUUGAUUUCCCAAAUGUACAGAGCAGUGAACCAACUGUGCACAUCCAUCUGUUAAUUGAUAAACAGACAUAGAAGAGUAUUACAUACCGUGCCUUUGCCCCUUCAAAAUAAAGUACGUUGUAAAGUUUUCCUUUUAAA